Molecule: long non-coding RNA, 1642 nt
Organism: Macrobrachium nipponense
Lineage: Eukaryota; Metazoa; Arthropoda; Malacostraca; Decapoda; Palaemonidae
Exons: 3
Source: RefSeq, a predicted model, not a curated record
AGUAGGAAAUAAAAAUGAUACUUGCACAAAAAUAAUACAUGCAAAAUUAAAGAUUUAAAAGAUUUCCAUAUGGCAUAUUCGGUCAUGUUCCAAGGAGCAAGACACUACGUACUAAGACUUUAGAGUCCUGGGUAAAUGACAACAUCGGUCGACUUCGGAGUCCAUUAGCACCUUCGGACCUUGACUGUAACAUCGUUCUAUGCAGCAGACGUUUAACAGGAGUCUGCUAAGUGAUCCAUUUUUCUUUAGCGAUGGCGUAUUCAAUUCUUCCUUAACUUAUUAUAGCGUAAUUGGUCCUGUUGUAAAGCUUUUGUGAUUACUCCUUUUAUCACGCGACAAGACUACAGCUGCCGCUGGAGAUUUCCAUCGAUUGUUACCACUUCGCUGGUCAAGUUAUAAUAAACCCUGGGCUUCUGAACUGCAAGGAUGUCUUAGGUGCAAAAUUUGGAUUUAGAGUUCCUGUUUUAACGUUAGUCCCACACUUGAUUCAGCUGCUUUCUUAAGCAACAGGGUUUUGCCCCAGGUGAGGAUGAGCGAAAUGGCUGGUGCCGGUGGGCAGUUUCUGACGUGACUUCACGAGAGCUUGGCAUUCCGUCUUAUUUCGGCAUUGCGUUGAAGUAUCGAUAAUUACGACUGGCUUCGAUGUAGUAUGGUAUUGUGACCAUGUAACGGUUUGAGACAUAGCCGGAAGAUUAAUAAGAAGAGCUGGCUUAUGGACAUUUCGCGAAGCACCGGUAGCGUUUUAAGCUCUUACAACCGAAGAAAGUGAGAGACCAGUGAAGAGACUUUGGUGACAGCUGGUAGGUAGGUGCAGGAUUUCUGCUCGUGAUACUGUAAGUUUUAACUGCCCCCACCAAGACUGCUGUACGGUCUGUCAGAUGCUUUGCGAAUGUUUUGAGGUCUCUUGAAGAGACCAUUUUUCCUACUGAGAGAGAUUGAAUAACAACUGGUUCCAUGCUACGUAUAAACACCAACCAACCAAACUAACAAUACUGUGGGAGAUAAUACAAGCUGCGUCCGUAGUUUCUUGGAUCCACCCGAAGUUAAGCUUACUUUUCAAGACCAUUCUCGGCAAGAUACGUAUCUGCAUAAUUUUAUUUGUUAUCCAGAAUCCAGGACAUCACAUUGUUACUUUAAUAAAAGUAUAACGUUUAUGUAUUUGUGUGUUAACCAAAGUAUUAGUACUUGCAUCAGAUAUUAGUAGAUUAGAUAAAUUUAUUCAAUCUUAUUCAUAGACUUUUGUUGUACUGGGUUGUCCAUGGAACAUUGAGUUUUACUCUGUACACUAUGAGUCGUUACUCAUACACAGGUAAUGUUUGAUAUUCAUGCACAAGCAAUGAGUUUGAGAAUUACUCUUGAAUACUGGCAAUGAGUUUAUAAUGUUGCUCAUGAACACAGGCAAUAGUUUUGUGAUGUUAAUCACGAAUACUGGCAGUAGUUUUGUGAUAUCAUCAUGAACGGAGGUAAUGGAUUUACUUAACGUGAACCUUGUCAAAUGCGUAUUAUGCAUAACAUGAACGAAGAUAAGGAGUUAAUAUACGAUCGGCACAAAGGUUGAUUUUCAUAAGGCAAUGACAGAGUCAUUCAUACUAACCUUGAAUAAGGGCAGUGGUCGCCGGGGCUGUUCAUAAGUGGUAAUUUU